RNAcentral lists this ribosomal RNA (1017 nucleotides) under uncultured bacterium. RNAcentral's name for it is "bacterial SSU rRNA". It matches the Rfam family "Bacterial small subunit ribosomal RNA", at positions 355 to 1375 of the family's 1533-position model. The record is from RNAcentral.
UGAGGAAUAUUGGUCAAUGGGCGAGAGCCUGAACCAGCCAAGUAGCGUGAAGGAUGAAGGUCCUACGGAUUGUAAACUUCUUUUAUACGGGAAUAAAGUUUCCUACGUGUAGGAUUUUGUCUGUACCGUAUGAAUAAGCAUCGGCUAACUCCGUGCCAGCAGCCGCGGUAAUACGGAGGAUGCGAGCGUUAUCCGGAUUUAUUGGGUUUAAAGGGAGCGCAGACGGGUCGUUAAGUCAGCUGUGAAAGUUUGGGGCUCAACCUUAAAAUUGCAGUUGAUACUGGCGUCCUUGAGUGCGGUUGAGGUGUGCGGAAUUCGUGGUGUAGCGGUGAAAUGCUUAGAUAUCACGAAGAACUCCGAUUGCGAAGGCAGCACACUAAGCCGUAACUGACGUUCAUGCUCGAAAGUGUGGGUAUCAAACAGGAUUAGAUACCCUGGUAGUCCACACGGUAAACGAUGGAUACUCGCUGUUGGCGAUAUACUGUCAGCGGCUUAGCGAAAGCGUUAAGUAUCCCACCUGGGGAGUACGCCGGCAACGGUGAAACUCAAAGGAAUUGACGGGGGCCCGCACAAGCGGAGGAACAUGUGGUUUAAUUCGAUGAUACGCGAGGAACCUUACCCGGGCUUAAAUUGCAAAGGAAUAAUCUGGAAACAGAUUAGUCUUCGGACCUUUGUGAAGGUGCUGCAUGGUUGUCGUCAGCUCGUGCCGUGAGGUGUCGGCUUAAGUGCCAUAACGAGCGCAACCCUCGCCGCCAGUUACUAACAGUUAAAGCUGAGGACUCUGGCGGGACUGCCAUCGUAAGAUGUGAGGAAGGUGGGGAUGACGUCAAAUCAGCACGGCCCUUACGUCCGGGGCUACACACGUGUUACAAUGGGCGGUACAGAAGGCAGCUACCUGGCGACAGGAUGCCAAUCCCUAAAGCCGCUCUCAGUUCGGACUGGAGUCUGCAACCCGACUCCACGAAGCUGGAUUCGCUAGUAAUCGCGCAUCAGCCACGGCGCGGUGAAUACGUUCCC